AUUGAACGCUGGCGGCAUGCCUAACACAUGCAAGUCGAACGGUAACGCGGAGAGCUUGCUCUCUGGCGACGAGUGGCGGACGGGUGAGUAAUACUUGGGAAUCUGCCCAGUAGUGGGGGACAACAUUCGGAAACGGAUGCUAAUACCGCAUACGCACUACGGUGGAAAGUGGGGGAUCUUCGGACCUCACGCUAUUGGAUGAGCCCAAGUCGGAUUAGCUUGUAGGUAGGGUAACGGCCUACCUAGGCGACGAUCCGUAGCCGGUCUGAGAGGACGAUCAGCCACACUGGGACUGAGACACGGCCCAGACUCCUACGGGAGGCAGCAGUGGGGAAUAUUGGACAAUGGGCGCAAGCCUGAUCCAGCAAUGCCGCGUGUGUGAAGAAGGCCUGCGGGUUGUAAAGCACUUUCAGUAGAGAAGAAAAGCCUAGGGUUAAUAACCCUGAGUCUUGACGUAACCUACAGAAGAAGCACCGGCUAACUCCGUG
This 488-nucleotide ribosomal RNA is filed under the name uncultured bacterium. RNAcentral describes it as "bacterial SSU rRNA". It matches the Rfam family "Bacterial small subunit ribosomal RNA", at positions 30 to 507 of the family's 1533-position model. The record is from RNAcentral.